Molecule: ribosomal RNA, 165 nt
Filed under: Enterococcus faecium
Lineage: Bacteria; Bacillati; Bacillota; Bacilli; Lactobacillales; Enterococcaceae
Description: partial 16S ribosomal RNA
Rfam family: Bacterial small subunit ribosomal RNA
Source: RNAcentral
UUUUAUGAGAGUUUGAUCCUGGCUCAGGACGAACGCUGGCGGCGUGCCUAAUACAUGCAAGUCGAACGCUUCUUUUUCCACCGGAGCUUGCUCCACCGGAAAAAGAGGAGUGGCGAACGGGUGAGUAACACGUGGGUAACCUGCCCAUCAGAAGGGGAUAACACU